Molecule: long non-coding RNA, 1314 nt
Organism: Chrysemys picta bellii (western painted turtle)
Lineage: Eukaryota; Metazoa; Chordata; Testudines; Emydidae
Source: RefSeq, a predicted model, not a curated record
GGUUCCUAACCCCGGGGGCUGAACUGCCCAGGGAACAGCUGAGUUUAACUAUUCUUAUGCAGGCAGCAGCAGCAGGCAUCUCUCAGCCAGUCUCCCUGCUCACUGCAAGCUAGAGCCUAGAGGAGAGCCCCUGCUGAGUGGCGGGUGGGGGAGGAACGCAGAGCCUUACUGUCUGCAGCCUGGCUGGAGGAGGAGGAAGGAGACGAGAAACCAAUGUGACACCAGAUCCACUGCCAACAUGAUCCUCCACUGCAGGACCUCAGUGGAGCACACCGAGAAUGGACAUACGCCACUUGACUCUUAAGCAUUCAUCUAGAAAAUGCCUAAACUUGUUUGGCUCCCUGACUCACAGUAAUUGUCUGCAAACUGAAUCCCUUCAAUGUGUUGUUUCACAUAUGCCCCUGCUCUCUACCACCAGGCCUGUUGGAUUGGUCAGCUGUCAUUUCUAAUCCACUGUGUCUGCCCAAUGCAUUCAUAAUCAUUCAACCUAUGCUUGCUCUUCUAGAGGGUGCACUGAAAACAGUUAUUUUUGAUUCAAACUGACUCACAGGCCCAGCCUACAAAGUAAAAGUAUUUGUAACUAAGUUAGUGACAAAACAAAUUUGCUUCCAACACUGUAAUACAUUGCAAUGUACAUUUUUAUAUCACAUUGCUUUUUGGGGUUUUAACUUUGAUAGCACAGUGUAAUAAACCCACAACCACUUAAGAACUUAGUAGCUAUCAGUGCAUGGCAUAGCAUGGGUACUUGGAAUGUCAGUGGGCAAGGAUAGAAAUCAGAUCCUCCAAUUCUGGGCUUAGUCCAGAAUGACUUCAAUAGCAGGCUUCGGAUUAGGCCCUUGAUGCACAGACCUGUACACUACAUGAAGUAAAGAAAAAUCUCAAUUUGCUAUUAGCAGUAUAAGGCCUCUGACACAAACGAGCAGUUGUAAUUCCAUGCAGUAGAGGCCAGUGGUACAAAUACACACUAUCCAGUUCAUUACAAUAAUAAAUUCCUUUCCCUCCCCAGUGACAGUUAAAAUGGCAAAUACUAGAAUAUUUUUUAAAAUGCCUUUGACUAGUGUAUGGACAUGUGGUUAUAAUUAUUGUAUUUACAGAAGAAUCUGUUGUUCUCCUUUCUUCAUAUUUCUGGUGUCUCCCAGGAAAUAUGCCAAUUUGUGGGCAUUUUGCUCCAUAUUAAAGGAAACUUUCCUACAAGCAGGGCUCAUUGUCACAGAGCACCGGCGUGCUAGGAGUAGAAAAUUAAUAUCCUGAGAGCCAUCUGUAAAAAAUGGGCAGGAAUGAAUAUGAAUAAAUAUCGAAUAUAACUGUUGUAAA